CCAACUCUAGCUCAAACUAACCAAACACACCACUAAACUUCUCUAUAAAACAACUAAAACAUUUUCUGCACCUAGUAUAGGCGAUAGAAAAGUUACUUGACGCAAUAGAAAAUCCGUACCGUAAGGGAAAGUUGAAAUAAUAAUGAAAAACCAAGCAAAAAACAGCAAAGACCAGCCCUUGUACCUUUUGCAUCAUGAUUUAGCAAGAAUAACCAAGCACAGUGAACUUUAGCUUGCCAUCCCGAAACCUAUGCGAGCUACCUACAAGCAGCUAUUAUGAGCAAACCCGUCUCUGUGGCAAAAGAGUGGGAUGACUUGUUAGUAGAGGUGAAAAGCCAACCGAGCUAGGUGAUAGCUGGUUGCCUGCGAAACGAAUAUAAGUUCAUCCCUAAAUCUCCCCCUCAGAUAUACUAAUUCACUACAAUGAGAUAUUUAGGAGUAAUUUAAAGGAGGUACAGCUCCUUUAAACCAGGAUACAACCUAAACCAGAGGAUAACACAAACUACCCCCUUACAUGUAGGCCCUCAAGCAGCCAUCAAUCAAGAGUGCGUUAAAGCUCACAUAUCCAAAAAUACCAAAAACACUACGAACCCCUCACCACUAGUAGGCUAACCUAUGACUAUAGGAGAAUUCAUGCUAGAAUGAGUAAUUUGAAGACUACCCCUUCUCUAGGCGCAAACUUACAUCCCAAACUAUUAUUAACAGUACGACUUAUAUUACUAUCCCACAAGACCAAAUAUUUAAUCAAUCUGUUACCCCUACCCCGGAGCGCCCUCUAGAAAGAUUUAAGUCUGCAAAAGGAACUCGGCAAGCCUAAGGCCCGACUGUUUACCAAAAACAUAGCCUUCAGCCCACACAAGUAUUGAAGGUGAUGCCUGCCCAGUGACUAUAGUUUAACGGCCGCGGUAUCCUAACCGUGCGAAGGUAGCGCAAUCAAUUGUCUCAUAAAUCGAGACCUGUAUGAAUGGCUAAACGAGGUCUUAACUGUCUCUUGCAGAUAAUCAAUGAAAUUGAUCCCCCUGUGCAAAAGCAGGAAUACCAUCAUAAGACGAGAAGACCCUGUGGAACUUAAAAAUCUUGGACCAAUGCCACCACCCUCCCAACCUACAGGGCUCACUCUACUGCACCUUAUGGUCCUUAUUUUUUGGUUGGGGCGACCUUGGAGUACAGACAAACCUCCAAAAUAAGACCACCUAAUCUUAACCAAGACCAUACCCCUCAAAGUACUAACAGUAACCAGACCCAAUAUAAUUGACCAAUGAACCAAGCUACCCCAGGGAUAACAGCGCAAUCUCCUUCAAGAGCCCCUAUCGACAAGGAGGUUUACGACCUCGAUGUUGGAUCAGGACAACCUAAUGGUGCAGCCGCUAUUAAGGGUUCGUUUGUUCAACGAUUAACAGUCCUACGUGAUCUGAGUUCAGACCGGAGCAAUCCAGGUCGGUUUCUAUCUAUGCUAUUACUCCCCCCAGUACGAAAGGACCGGGGCAGUGGGGCCAAUAUCCACCGACACGCCCCCCUUCUAAUUAGUGAACACAACUAAACUAAUAAGAACGAAUCAAAUCACCGAACAUCCUAGAUAAAGGAUA
RNAcentral lists this ribosomal RNA (1586 nucleotides) under Tinamus major (great tinamou). Its description in RNAcentral is "16S ribosomal RNA". It matches the Rfam family "Bacterial large subunit ribosomal RNA", at positions 380 to 2830 of the family's 2925-position model. The record is from RNAcentral. Lineage: Eukaryota; Metazoa; Chordata; Aves; Tinamiformes; Tinamidae.